UUCAAAUGACGAACCAUUGCACUGGGCACUGAAUAUUUUAUGAGUGACAUGCAUUUUAUGAGGACUUAGAAAACCCUCGCGACUGAUUUA
This 90-nucleotide small nucleolar RNA is filed under the name Babjeviella inositovora NRRL Y-12698. Lineage: Eukaryota; Fungi; Ascomycota; Pichiomycetes; Serinales. The record is from RNAcentral.